AUCCAGCUGACGAGUCCCAAGUUGGACAGCCGAAAUGCGCAUCCUGGAU
RNAcentral lists this non-coding RNA (49 nucleotides) under Trichobilharzia regenti. Lineage: Eukaryota; Metazoa; Platyhelminthes; Trematoda; Strigeidida; Schistosomatidae. The record is from RNAcentral.